CUAUUACCUGUUCUAACGUACUAAUUUUUUAGCUUGCUACUACCUCUUCUUCUAUUACCCGUUCACUUGCUAAUACAUGUUCUACUUCUGUGCCAUUUUUUAGUGAAGACAGAGAAUAUGCGUGCUUGUAAGUCUCCAACUGUGCUAUCUUUUCUUGGAUCGAUCUCCCUGUUCUGGUGGAUGCCAAGCCUCCAGCUGCAGGGUAAACUAGAUCAUUACAUUGAAGACAGAGAAUAUGCGUGCUUGUAAGUCUCCAACUGUGCUAUCUUGUCUUGGAUCAAUCUCCCUGUUCUCGUGGAUGCCAAGCCUCCAGCUGCAGGGUAAACUAGAUCAUUACAUGUACUGAAGCCCUGCCAUGACUCCGACCAUGUCUCUGGCAAGGCGGCAUCUACAAUACGAGAGCACCACCCUACGUGACAUGUGCAGUGACGAAAGGCGCAAACCAAAAGCCUCCUGGAGGGCUCGCUGGAGAUUUGCUCGUACGCUAGAUACAGGAAUGAUACUGGAUAUUUUUGCGUAAAAAUAGUAGCAUCCUAUUGGACAUGUAAUUUUUUAUUUUAUUUAUGAUAUGAUUAGUACCACAAUAACCUUUUAGAAGAUCUGAUUACUAGAAAUAUGGAAUUUCCUAGAAGAUAUUUGGAAAGGAGAGUUCAUGAAAACAAAA
This is a long non-coding RNA of Hordeum vulgare subsp. vulgare (domesticated barley), 664 nucleotides long. RefSeq lists it as uncharacterized. The record is from RefSeq and is a predicted model, not a curated record. The transcript is spliced from 2 exons. NCBI's taxonomy places the organism in Eukaryota, Viridiplantae, Streptophyta, Magnoliopsida, Poales, Poaceae.